CCCCAAGCCCCCCUCCUUCCGCGGCCCUUGAAUUGAAGCCCUUCCUUCGGCCCUUCUUUUCUUCGCUUCCGUUCAGUCUUUCUUCCCCUCUCUCCCCAUUCAUGAUUCACGAACGGUGAAGUAGCAAAACCUCCAUUGACUAUUCACUCUCUCUUCUUUCCCGACGACCGUCUUUUUCUGAUCUACUGAGAGUGUGGCCGCCGUUCAGCAAGUUGCGGGUGUGUGGCUGCCGAAAGAACCGUUCCCUAUCGAUCUCUUUCCCCCCUCCCUGUCAAUCUGUUUUGCCUGUGUUGAGUGUGGCUGCCAAACCGCCGUUCAUCUUCUGUCCGAAUGACGAACGCCAAGCGGUGAGUUUCUGUUUCUUUUAAUAAUACCUUUUAUUAGUAGAUUGCCUUUUCCAAUCCACUAAGAUUUAGAAAGCCUAACAACACACACAUCUCUGUUCACUGAAUUUAGAAAUAAUCGGCAUUUGGGUUCAGGUUAACGAUGUUGCUGCCAUUUGGGUUCUAUGAAGGAAAGGAUGCUUAAGCUAAAAUUCAAUUAUGGAGAAAGUUGGUUAAAGAAUCAGCUGGUGCAAAUUAUGUCAAGAAAUUUGCAAAUUCUUCACUUUGAUGAUUUGUGAAGGAAAGGAUGCUUAAGCUGAAUGAAUUUGACUGUUGUUAGAAACUGCUAGUCUUUUAACCAUAAUAAAAUUAUGGCAUGAAUUUUAGAAACUCCUAGUCUUCUAACUAUAAAGGAUGCUAGUCUUCUUACCAUAAUAAAAUUAUGCAAAUUAUGUCAAUAAUAAAAUAUUUA
This 795-nucleotide long non-coding RNA is filed under the name Manihot esculenta (cassava). Its description in RNAcentral is "long non-coding RNA (MESC_LNC001514)". The record is from RNAcentral. Lineage: Eukaryota; Viridiplantae; Streptophyta; Magnoliopsida; Malpighiales; Euphorbiaceae.